UACGGAGGAUGCGAGCGUUAUCCGGAUUUAUUGGGUUUAAAGGGUGCGCAGGCGGCGUGUCAAGUCAGCGGUAAAAUGUCGGGGCUCAACCCCGGCCGGCCGUUGAAACUGGCGUGCUCGAGUUGGAGAGAAGUAUGCGGAAUUCGUGGUGUAGCGGUGAAAUGCAUAGAUAUCACGAAGAACCCCGAUUGCGAGGGCAGCAUACCGGCUCCACACUGACGCUGAGGCACGAAAGCGUGGGUAUCGAACAGG
Molecule: ribosomal RNA, 252 nt
Filed under: uncultured bacterium
Lineage: Bacteria
Description: partial 16S ribosomal RNA
Rfam family: Bacterial small subunit ribosomal RNA
Source: RNAcentral